Musa acuminata AAA Group (dessert banana) is the source of this 2354-nucleotide RNA transcript. It is a transcript of the gene named protein TWIN SISTER of FT, with no coding region annotated. NCBI's taxonomy places the organism in Eukaryota, Viridiplantae, Streptophyta, Magnoliopsida, Zingiberales, Musaceae. The transcript has 2 exons. The record is from RefSeq and is a predicted model, not a curated record.
AUCCUUUCACUAGAUCUGCUACUAUGAGAAUUAUGUACAACAAUAGGGAAAUCUCGAAUGGGAGUAGGCUAAGGCAAUCGGCUGUGGCGGAUAAGCCACAGGUUCAAAUUGAAGGGAAUGAUCCAAGGAAGCUCUAUACACUUGUAAGUUCGAUGUCAUAGCUAGACGAGUGUUUUCAUGGUCUUGUUGCUGUGUCAACUUGGAACACUUGCCUGCAGCCUCUUAACCACAUAUCAAAGCCUGCAUACAUAAACCAGUGAUGGUGGAUCCUGAUGCACCAAGUCCAAACAAUCCAACUGAUAGAGAGUAUCUGCACUGGUAAGCUAAAAAUUAUUUAUCCAAAAAUAAUAUCAUAUAUAUAUAUAUAUAUGAUUUUUGUUUGAUUUAAUUUUUGCAAGAAAAAUGUACUGAUAAAUGAUGUUUGUAUAUUGAAACAGAGAAAUAUAAUCCCCACAAAAUAUUUUUACCAAGACUACCUUCUUUAUUUCAUCUCUCUGGUUUAAGAAGCUAGUGGACAUGAAAUAUAUUUUAUAUUAAAUUACUAAAAUCUUAUGCACCAUAUAUGUACACUCUUUAACCCAUUCUUAUUAUCUUAGGCAUGUCUAUCAAUCCACCAAAACAAAGUUCUUCUCAAUCAAGUAACUCAUUGGUCUCUUGGUAAUGCUUUUUAGGUUGGUGACAGACAUCCCAGAAACUCUUGAUGCAAGUCAUGGUGGGUAAAACUUACUCUAAUAAUCUCUUCCUAAAUGCAUAGUACUAUGACAUUCUCAAAUGACAUAAAUUUGGUUUUUGAUGUGGAUUUUAUAUGUAUAGUCCUCCACUCUUAUUUUCUAAUCACCCCAAAAUAAUGAUAAGGACAGUAACAUAUAAACUAUACAAAAUUCUGUAAGUAAAUUGGAACCAAACACUAUUUGAGUCAUUAAGUUACUUUGGUAAUAAGACCAAACUGGCAUAAUUGCUAACAUCUAGAAUUUGUCAUGUCAUUGUUGAUUCUGCACAGGUUUCUUCAGACUAAAGGGAAAAAUAAAAGAAACAUAAUACAUGAAUUGACCAUACCAGAAUUCUCUUAGCUAAUAUCAACUAUUUCUUUUCUAAUCCUAAUUAAUUAUUGGAGAAAUAUAACUCAUCAAUUUUACCUAGAAUGUGUAGUUCUACCACAAUUUCUUAUGACAACAUGUAUGCUUCAGUUAUUCAGAAAUUUGAACUGUCUAGAAAGUGGUUUCUAUGUUCCAUUUGUUUUUAUGUUCGAGCAAAUUAAAUAAUAUGCUUAUGUGAAUCCAAGAAAAAAAAACAUUUGGCCUACACAAAUAUUCUCAUUCUUGUUCAGGAACAAGUGGAUAAUACUGUCCUGUGUUAUUUAUGUAGGCCAGAAGAACACAUGAUGUUUGAAGUAAAUGGGUUUGUGUUUACCCCUUUCAGUGCUCCAUAGUUCUGCAGGAGGAGAUGCAUAUGUCAUGUGUGUUCAAUCCAUUUGCAGCAAACAUGAUGUGCAAUAUAUAUAUAUGAAUAUAUUGGAUACUUGGAGCAUAUAUACAUGCAUAACUGGAGAAAGAAAUGAGGUUGCCAUGCUCCUUUACAAAGAGGAGAUUGCACCUCAUUCUUCUUCCUACAAGUGGUAGCACAAAUACGUAUGCUGCACACGUACUCGUGUACUGUUGUGCAAGCUACAGUGCUUCUUAGAAAGCCCGGUCAAGCUCUCUGCACGCAUGCACGAGUACGUCGACUCAAAUGGCAUCGAUAUACUGCUGCUACUACUACGUAGUGGACAAGAGAGAAGGGCGGGUGAUGGCCCCACCUCCAACAAGUGUUCUUUCUUUUCUCCUGCAGGCCCCACUUCCCUGCGUCAGUCGGCGUGGCAAGGCUCCGACCGGAAAUCGAGCUCGAUGGACGGCUGUUAUCCUCCCCCCCCACCCGCUCCCGGUGAUCAACGCUUGACUUGACGCCUUUGUGGUUUGUGCGGGCCCCCAAGAGAACCAUGGUCGGCCUCUAUUUUCAUGAUCUUUCCAUCAAGCACUCACACACCUAAAUGUUCUUUUGACUAAGAUGAAGCAGCAAUAUUAUAUACAGGCAGGCAUGCAGGCACGUCGAGGAGACACUUCAAAUGGACUUGAGAUGGCUGUUGAUACAUAUAUAUAUAUGCGAAUGUUCUCUCUUCUCAUGCAAACUAGAUCAUAGUGAUGUUAGGAAACUUAGUCACUCAUGUUAUCUGCAAAUUGAAUUUUUCUAUAUUUUGCCUCUCAUAGCAACAUAUAUACACAAUUGCAUCACCAAAUUCUUCCAUGCAUGGAAAUAUAUGACUGUGUUAACUUUCUCUAUCAUAUUAGUGAAACUACUGUAUACUAUUGGAUAUGAAA